RNAcentral lists this ribosomal RNA (492 nucleotides) under uncultured bacterium. Its description in RNAcentral is "partial 16S ribosomal RNA". It matches the Rfam family "Bacterial small subunit ribosomal RNA", at positions 29 to 507 of the family's 1533-position model. The record is from RNAcentral.
AGUGAACGCUGGCGGUAGGCCUAACACAUGCAAGUCGAACGGCAGCACAGUAAGAGCUUGCUCUUACGGGUGGCGAGUGGCGGACGGGUGGGGAAUACAUCGGAAUCUACUUUUUCGUGGGGGAUAACGUAGGGAAACUUACGCUAAUACCGCAUACGACCUACGGGUGAAAGCAGGGGAUCUUCGGACCUUGCGCGAUUGAAUGAGCCGAUGUCGGAUUAGCUAGUUGGCGGGGUAAAGGCCCACCAAGGCGACGAUCCGUAGCUGGUCUGAGAGGAUGAUCAGCCACACUGGAACUGAGACACGGUCCAGACUCCUACGGGAGGCAGCAGUGGGGAAUAUUGGACAAUGGGCGCAAGCCUGAUCCAGCCAUACCGCGUGGGUGAAGAAGGCCUUCGGGUUGUAAAGCCCUUUUGUUGGGAAAGAAAAGCAGCAGGCUAAUACCCCGCUGUUCUGACGGUACCCAAAGAAUAAGCACCGGCUAACUUCGUG